Silurus meridionalis is the source of this 571-nucleotide long non-coding RNA. RefSeq lists it as uncharacterized. The transcript has 3 exons. The record is from RefSeq and is a predicted model, not a curated record. Lineage: Eukaryota; Metazoa; Chordata; Actinopteri; Siluriformes; Siluridae.
ACAGAUGGGGAGUAAGAUGAAGAAAGCUAUAGGCAUCCCACAGAGUUUCGUUGACACUACAAACAUAAAGCAUGUAGUUUGCCGGAAACUGCUGAAACCUGUCAGCCCUGGUCGAUGAAGUGUGCACCUUGUGUGGAACAACCCUUCUGCUUUGAACACAAUUGAACAAAUGUGCAUCUAAAACUUCUCAAAGCGAGAUGCUACACUUCAGCGUGGAUCAAGUGUCGGAUUCUUGAAGGUAGAUUUUAAAGAGCUGGACCUGAUGACCAAUUUCUGCAGCUAUUCCUCAACUAUUGAGCAGAGGAGUUUGCAAAUAGACUACCCACUUUCCAUUACACUUGAAGCUACAUUGAGAGAGAGUCCUACUCUUUUUCAGCUUUCUCUGGUUCCUGUUACACUUCUAUUCACGGACAUAAAAGCAACAAGGUUUAGAUUUUACAGCGUAACACAAUUCAUGCCAUUAUUAUUGUAUGAGAACAAACUUGAAAAAAGGCCCUGGGCGAUGCCCAGACUACAGGCAAGUCCAAACACAAAAUGCAUUAGUAUGGCUCUCUAGAUUGGAGAGGCUGAA